This 497-nucleotide ribosomal RNA is filed under the name uncultured bacterium. RNAcentral describes it as "partial 16S ribosomal RNA". It matches the Rfam family "Bacterial small subunit ribosomal RNA", at positions 28 to 507 of the family's 1533-position model. The record is from RNAcentral.
GAUGAACGCUGGCGGCGUGCCUAAUACAUGCAAGUCGAGCGAACGGACGAGAAGCUUGCUUCUCUGAUGUUAGCGGCGGACGGGUGAGUAACACGUGGAUAACCUACCUAUCAGACUGGUAUAACUUCGGGAAACCGGAGCUAAUACCGGAUGAUAUUUUGAACCGCAUGGUUCAAAAGUGAAAGACGGUCUUGCUGUCACUUAUAGAUGGAUCCGCGCUGCAUUAGCUAGUUGGUAAGGUAACGGCUUACCAAGGCAACGAUGCAUAGCCGACCUGAGAGGGUGAUCGGCCACACUGGAACUGAGACACGGUCCAGACUCCUACGGGAGGCAGCAGUAGGGAAUCUUCCGCAAUGGGCGAAAGCCUGACGGAGCAACGCCGCGUGAGUGAUGAAGGUCUUCGGAUCGUAAAACUCUGUUAUUAGGGAUGAACAUAUGUGUAAGUAACUGUGCACAUCUUGACGGUACCUAAUCAGAAAGCCACGGCUAACUACGUG